UAAGUGUACUGUCUGCUGAUUGGGGG
Molecule: non-coding RNA, 26 nt
Filed under: Mus musculus (house mouse)
Lineage: Eukaryota; Metazoa; Chordata; Mammalia; Rodentia; Muridae
Source: RNAcentral